This 468-nucleotide ribosomal RNA is filed under the name uncultured bacterium. RNAcentral's name for it is "partial 16S ribosomal RNA". It matches the Rfam family "Bacterial small subunit ribosomal RNA", at positions 28 to 507 of the family's 1533-position model. The record is from RNAcentral.
GACGAACGCUGGCGGCGUGCUUAACACAUGCAAGUCGAACGGAAAGGCCCUGCUUUUGUGGGGUGCUCGAGUGGCGAACGGGUGAGUAACACGUGAGUAACCUGCCCUUGACUGUGGGAUAACAUCAGGAAACUGGGGCUAAUACAGGAUAGGAGCUCCUGCUACAUGGUGGGGGUGGGAAAGUGUCGGAGGUUGGGGAUGGACUCGCGGCUUAUCGGCUUGUUGGUGGGGUAGUGGCUUACCAAGGCUUUGACGGGUAGCCGGCCUGGGAGGGUGACCGGCCACAUUGGGACUGAGAUGCGGCCCAGACUCCUACGGGAGGCAGCAGUGGGGAAUAUUGCACAAUGGGCGGAAGCCUGAUGCAGCAACUCCGCGUGCGGGAUGACGGCCUUCGGGUUGUAAACCGCUUUCGCCUGUGACGAAGCGUGAGUGACGGUAAUGGGUAAAGAAGCACCGGCUAACUACGUG